RNAcentral lists this ribosomal RNA (157 nucleotides) under uncultured Aureobasidium. Its description in RNAcentral is "5.8S ribosomal RNA". It matches the Rfam family "5.8S ribosomal RNA". Rfam says of the family: 5.8S ribosomal RNA (5.8S rRNA) is a component of the large subunit of the eukaryotic ribosome. It is transcribed by RNA polymerase I as part of the 45S precursor that also contains 18S and 28S rRNA. The record is from RNAcentral. Lineage: Eukaryota; Fungi; Ascomycota; Dothideomycetes; Dothideales; Dothioraceae.
AACUUUCAACAACGGAUCUCUUGGUUCUCGCAUCGAUGGAGAACGCAGCGAAAUGCGAUAAGUAAUGUGAAUUGCAGAAUUCAGUGAAUCAUCGAAUCUUUGAACGCACAUUGCGCCCCUUGGUAUUCCGAGGGGCAUGCCUGUUCGAGCGUCAUUA